AACGAUGGAUACUAGCUGUUGGGCGCAAGUUCAGUGGCUAAGCGAAAGUGAUAAGUAUCCCACCUGGGGAGUACGUUCGCAAGAAUGAGACUCAAAGGAAUUGACGGGGGCCCGCACAAGCGGUGGAGCAUGUGGUUUAAUUCGAUGAUACGCGAGGAACCUUACCAAGGCUUAAAUGUAGAUUGACCGGUUUGGAAACAGACUUUUCGCAAGACAAUUUACAAGGUGCUGCAUGGUUGUCGUCAGCUCGUGCCGUGAGGUGUCAGGUUAAGUCCUAUAACGAGCGCAACCCCUGUUGUUAGUUGCCAGCGAGUCAAGUCGGGAACUCUAACAAGACUGCCAGUGCAAACUGUGAGGAAGGUGGGGAUGACGUCAAAUCAUCACGGCCCUUACGCCUUGGGCUACACACGUGCUACAAUGGACGGUACAGAGAGCAGCCACUACGUGAGUAGGAGCGAAUCUAUAAAACCGUUCUCAGUUCGGAUCGGAGUCUGCAACUCGACUCCGUGAAACUGGAAUCGCUAGUAAUCGGAUAUCAGCCAUGAUCCGGUGAAUACGUUCCCGGGCCUUGUACACACCGCCCGUCAAGCCAUGGAAGCUGGGGGUGCCUGAAGUCG
Molecule: ribosomal RNA, 617 nt
Filed under: uncultured Bacteroidota bacterium
Lineage: Bacteria; Pseudomonadati; Bacteroidota
Description: bacterial SSU rRNA
Rfam family: Bacterial small subunit ribosomal RNA
Source: RNAcentral